Molecule: ribosomal RNA, 960 nt
Filed under: Triticum aestivum (bread wheat)
Lineage: Eukaryota; Viridiplantae; Streptophyta; Magnoliopsida; Poales; Poaceae
Description: partial small subunit ribosomal RNA
Source: RNAcentral
AUGAGAAGCCAAGUGCCACUUGAUAUAGUAGAUCAAACAACCUACGAGGCUAAAAACUUUCUACUUCUUAAUCAAGGAGAAGCCGUCGCCCCCAUCUCCCGUUCCGCCGCCGCCGCCCCCCACCUUGCCCUAUCUCCCUCUCAGCCACCUCCACCACCCCCACGCUUCUCCUCACCACAACAGAUCCCUUCGCCGUCGCCCUCGCACUCGCACCAAGCCGCCGCCGAUCCCUGCGUCCCAGUGGAUCCGUUCGCCGCUGCCGAUCCUUCGCUGCCGCCGAUCUCGUCGCUACAUCGACGGCAACCAGGGGUCGUCCUCCGCCCGGCCGCAGUGGAGAUCAAGCAGGAGUCCUCCAAGGACGACUCCCGCGGGAUCAUCCUGAUCCUGUUCGAGAAGUUCGGCUUCUCCCACCGCGGGUCCGUCUCCAUCGCGCUCACCGGCGCCAGGGCUGCCUCCAAGCUCGCCAAGCCGGACUCUUCGCAGCUCGGCUUCUUCCUUUGGACAACUCCUGGGAAACAAGGCGAACGAUAUAUCUUCAUGCUUUACCUUGUUUACCACUGCCCUGAUGUGGAGAACGGUCGUCGGCUGGGAGCCUCGCCGUCUACCUCCACCAGCCGGCCCACACACCAUUGCUCCCCGCGUGUCGCGCCCCUCCCCGAACCAUCAUGCCUUCUAAUUAGUGUACGUGGUAGUCUGGAACAAUGUUCCUGGCACUUCGACCACACAACUUUAUGCUUGACGCACUAUAAGAAGACUGCCAUUUUGCCUUUUGACCUUGGUUUCUUCCUCCAUGGUAAUGUGUGCAAGUAUGAUUUUGUGAUAAUGCCAGAUGUUGUGUGCCUUCUUUAUUCAUGGUACGAGUACUCUAACCUGGCUCGUAGGCAUGGUUGUGUGGCCACGGGGAAAAUGGAGCAAGUAGCAUGUGAGGAGUUUAACAAAUGGGGACAAGGGACAGUUUAG